UCCCCGUGCAGGCCACACACCUGGCAUUCUCCACAAACUGCCCUGGGACACCCUAAGGACAGCCCUGAGGCGAGACCAGCAUGCCUGCACCUGUUCACCUCUGAUGAGGAGCCCGGACCGUGGCUGAGACAGGAAGCAGUCCUGCCAGAAGGUGGAGUGGUGGCUGGCCCUCCCCUCCUAAGGCCACCACCAGCCCUGCCUGGAGUUGUGGGGGCUCGUCUGCAGCAGGGUGGGGCAGGGGCAAAGGUUCAGGAGAAGGUAGGAGCUGGAUUCUGGGGUUCUGGCUGUGGGGAGUCGGAGGUGCCCACAGACACGCAGGGCAGAUGCUGUUGGACAGGGAAGUGGCUGAGCCUGGCCGUGGAUGGCAGGCGGGGACUAGAGACAAAACCGGGAGCUGGCUGCAGGGACAGCUGAGGCCCGUGGGGGGAAGGAGAGCGCAUCCUAGCAAGUGGACUUCGAGUGCUGGGGUAGGUGUUGAGCCACACAAGCCUUUCCAGGGGGAGUAGGGGCUCUGGACCCAGACGGCACUGAUGGUGAGCAGGACAGACUGUGGAGGUACCCAUGGGGGACACAGGUGACCUGAACCUGAGUAGUUUUCACUACCAUCAUAGGUAUAAAGAUCCGAGAUGAAGGCCAAGAGGUAAAGCUGGGGAAAGCAACUGGGGACAUAACCUGUGAGGAAUUCUAGGGUUAUAGAGAGCAGAAAAAUGAGCUGAAGCUAGUGUGGUAGGGGUGGAGGGCAAUGGCAGUCGAACGAGGGUGUUUUUAAUGUUGGAAGAUACUACAUCCUCAGAAACUUAAACACAGGGUUGCCAUCUGACCCAGCAGUUCCGCUCCUAGGUAGGAACUGAAAACCAGUGUUCACACAAGCAUGACUGUUCACAGCAGCACUACUCACAAUAGCCAAAGGUAGACACAGCCCAAACACCCACCAACCGCUGAAGGACACAAAAACUGUGGUAGAUCCAUCAAUGGAAUGUCAUUCAGCCAUAAAACGAAUCAAGUCCCAAUCCAAGACACGGAUGAGCCUCAGAAACAGUUUGCUAAGUGCACGAAGCCAGACAGAGAAGGCAGCAUGCUGUAUGAUUCUACGUGUAUGAGUGUCCAGAGUCAGUACACACGCAGAGAGAGACAGUAGACCCGUGGUCACCAGGGCUGGGAGGCUGGAGAGCAAGUUCAUGGGCAUGGAGCUUCCUCUUGCCAUGAGAAUGUUUUGCAACAAGAUGAGAUACUAGUUGCACAACAGUGUGAAGGUACCAGGUGCCACUGAAUGGCUCACUUUAAACGGUUGACUUUAGGUCAUGUGAAUUCUACUUCAAAAAAAAAAAUUGUCAGGCUUUUAGUUGGGCUCAAGUCUCUUUCGUGUGACUCUUCAAAAACAGAGGCAGGCCUAACUCCUCACACCCACUCAGUGGGGCCACGGCCACGGACCAGAGAGUGGGAAAGAAACACUCACUGUCGUAAGAAAGGAAGAAACAGUACCAGAACUCUGCAUGGACGCCCGGCCACCCACAAGGCCCUCUCACUCAUGCUGCUCCAGCCACGCUGGUCCUCGAACCUGGUAAGCAUCAGCCACCUUUGGCCUCUCUCUGGGCCCCCUUCCCUCAGAUAUCCUCCUGGCCCCUCCCUGACUCCAGGAAGGUCCUGAUCAGAUGUCCCCCUCCUUCUCAUAUGUUCCAUGGCCCAUGCUCAGUUGCCCAUGGACUUGUGAGGGCAGGACCUUGGCAUCUAAGACUCUUUUCCAUGACUAUUUUUAAGAGAAGUUUUAGGUUCACAAUAAAAUUGAGCAGAAGGUACAGAGAUUUCCCCCAUACACCCCGUGUACCCACACAUGCACAGUUUCCCCAUUACUCACUCACCAGAGUGGGGCAUUUGUUAUAACUGAGGAACUUCCGCCGACACAUCAUAAUCAUCUAAAGUCCACAGUUUACCUAAGGCUAACUUCUGCCACUGUCCUUUCUGCGGGUUUGGACCAUGUAUAAUGGCUUGUAUCCAUCAUCAUGGUAUCAUACGGAAUAGUUUCACUGUCCGAAAAAUCCUCUGCCCUCUGCCUAUUCAUCUCCCUUCUCUACUCAGGAGAAGACAACCACUGACCUUUUUACUGUCCCCAUGCUUUUGCCUUUUCCAGAAUGUCACGUAGUUGGAACCAUACAGCACAUAGCUUUUUUCAGACUGCCUUCUUUCACUCAGGAAUCUGCACUUAAAGUUCCUCCGUAGACAUGGCUUGAGAGCUAAUUUCUUUUUAUUGCUGAGUAGACAUGGCUUGAGAGCUAAUUUCUUUUUAUUGCUGAAUAAUAUUCCAUUGUCUGGGUGGACCAGACUUGAUUUAUCCAUUCGCCUACUGAAGAACAUCUUGGUCGCUUCCAAGUUUUG
RNAcentral lists this long non-coding RNA (2373 nucleotides) under Canis lupus familiaris (dog). Its description in RNAcentral is "lncRNA (ENSCAFG00000058134.1)". The record is from RNAcentral. Lineage: Eukaryota; Metazoa; Chordata; Mammalia; Carnivora; Canidae.